UGAGGAAUAUUGGUCAAUGGACGGAAGUCUGAACCNCNCAAGUAGCGUGCAGGACGACGGCCCUAUGGGUUGUAAACUGCUUUUGUAUGGGGAUAAAGUUAGGGACGUGUCCCUAUUUGCAGGUACCAUACGAAUAAGGACCGGCUAAUUCCGUGCCAGCAGCCGCGGUAAUACGGAAGGUCCAGGCGUUAUCCGGAUUUAUUGGGUUUAAAGGGAGCGUAGGCUGGAGAUUAAGUGUGUUGUGAAAUGUAGACGCUCAACGUCUGACUUGCAGCGCAUACUGGUUUCCUUGAGUACGCACAACGUUGGCGGAAUUCGUCGUGUAGCGGUGAAAUGCUUAGAUAUGACGAAGAACUCCGAUUGCGAAGGCAGCUGACGGGAGCGCAACUGACGCUUAAGCUCGAAGGUGCGGGUAUCAAACAGGAUUAGAUACCCUGGUAGUCCGCACAGUAAACGAUGGAUGCCCGCUGUUGGUACCUGGUAUCAGCGGCUAAGCGAAAGCAUUAAGCAUCCCACCUGGGGAGUACGCCGGCAACGGUG
Molecule: ribosomal RNA, 540 nt
Filed under: uncultured bacterium
Lineage: Bacteria
Description: bacterial SSU rRNA
Rfam family: Bacterial small subunit ribosomal RNA
Source: RNAcentral